RNAcentral lists this ribosomal RNA (254 nucleotides) under uncultured bacterium. RNAcentral's name for it is "partial 16S ribosomal RNA". It matches the Rfam family "Bacterial small subunit ribosomal RNA", at positions 524 to 776 of the family's 1533-position model. The record is from RNAcentral.
UACAGAGGUCUCAAGCGUUGUUCGGAUUCAUUGGGCGUAAAGGGCGCGUAGGCGGUCGUGACAAGUCACUUGUGAAAUCUCCGGGCUUAACUCGGAACGGUCAAGUGAUACUGUCGGACUAGAGUACAGAAGGGGCAACUGGAAUUCUCGGUGUAGCGGUGAAAUGCGUAGAUAUCGAGAGGAACACCUGCGGCGAAGGCGGGUUGCUGGGCUGAUACUGACGCUGAGGCGCGAAAGCCAGGGGAGCGAACAGG